RNAcentral lists this ribosomal RNA (253 nucleotides) under uncultured bacterium. RNAcentral's name for it is "partial 16S ribosomal RNA". It matches the Rfam family "Bacterial small subunit ribosomal RNA", at positions 524 to 776 of the family's 1533-position model. The record is from RNAcentral.
UACGUAGGGUGCGAGCGUUGUCCGGAAUUAUUGGGCGUAAAGAGCUCGUAGGCGGCUUGUCGCGUCGGAUGUGAAAGCCCGGGGCUUAACCCCGGGUCUGCAUUCGAUACGGGCAGGCUAGAGUUCGGUAGGGGAGAUCGGAAUUCCUGGUGUAGCGGUGAAAUGCGCAGAUAUCAGGAGGAACACCGGUGGCGAAGGCGGGUCUCUGGGCCGGUACCGACGCUGAGGAGCGAAAGCGUGGGGAGCGAACAGG